This 253-nucleotide ribosomal RNA is filed under the name uncultured bacterium. Its description in RNAcentral is "partial 16S ribosomal RNA". It matches the Rfam family "Bacterial small subunit ribosomal RNA", at positions 524 to 776 of the family's 1533-position model. The record is from RNAcentral.
UACAGAGGUCCCAAGCGUUACUGAGAAUCACUGGGUUUAAAGGGUGCGUAGGUGGUCCGUUAAGUCAGUUGUGAAAUCCCCGGGCUCAACUCGGGAACUGCUUCUGAUACUGGCGGACUUGAGGCCAGUAGGGGUCACUAGAACUGACGGUGGAGCGGUGAAAUUCGUAGAUAUUCGCAAGAACACCAGUGGCGAAGGCGGCUCACUGGCCCGGUACUGACGCUGAGGUGCGAAAGCGUGGGGAGCAAACAGG